This 439-nucleotide ribosomal RNA is filed under the name uncultured bacterium. RNAcentral's name for it is "partial 16S ribosomal RNA". It matches the Rfam family "Bacterial small subunit ribosomal RNA", at positions 339 to 795 of the family's 1533-position model. The record is from RNAcentral.
CUACGGGGGGCUGCAGUGAGGAAUAUUGCACAAUGGGGGGAACCCUGAUGCAGCAACGCCGCGUGGAGGAUGACGCAUUUCGGUGUGUAAACUCCUUUUAUAUGUCAAGAAAAUGACGGUAGCAUAUGAAUAAGCACCGGCUAACUCCGUGCCAGCAGCCGCGGUAAUACGGAGGGUGCAAGCGUUACUCGGAAUCACUGGGCGUAAAGGACGCGUAGGCGGGUUGGAAAGUCAGGUGUGAAAUCGUACAGCUUAACUGUAGAACUGCACUUGAAACUUCUAAUCUAGAGUAUGGGAGGGGGAGAUGGAAUUCGUGGUGUAGGGGUAAAAUCCGUAGAUAUCACUAGGAAUACCUAAAGCGAAGGCGAUCUCCUGGAACAUUACUGACGCUAAGGCGUGAAAGCGUGGGGAGCAAACAGGAUUAGAUACCCCGGUAGUC